This is a long non-coding RNA of Vicia villosa (hairy vetch), 1209 nucleotides long. RefSeq lists it as uncharacterized. The record is from RefSeq and is a predicted model, not a curated record. The transcript has 4 exons. NCBI's taxonomy places the organism in Eukaryota, Viridiplantae, Streptophyta, Magnoliopsida, Fabales, Fabaceae.
GAUGAACAACCAAAACAACAACUACACAACUUCCUAUAAGCCCACUAUUUCAAUUGGGGUUGUUUCAAACCAACCAUAAAUAUACCAGAGUUUAUUCUUCAAACCCUAAACUAUUCUUUUCUCUGCAUUUCAAAACCAAAACCCAUGUAUCUAAUUCCUUUCUAUGCAUACAACAUCUUCCCAACCCUUGCUUAUCACUCUCUCCGUCUAAUCUUCUUCCUUCUAUCUUUGAUUUCCCUUUUUUUUCCUGAUUUCCCUUUCUCUCAGCUUUACUUGAUUUGCUUAUAUGAUGCUUAAUUGUUUGAAAUUCUUGAAUCUAAAGCUAACAUCAUGUUUUUCGUGUGAUUGUUUUAGCAAUCAAACUCUAGUCAACCUUAUCCAUUUCGCCUUCUAUGUACCAAAUUUACAUCUGUUAUGUUCAACCUACCAAUUUAUCCACCGUUGUCGCAGAGUCCCUCUGGUUCUGUAGAGCACGGGAAGAAAUUCUCCACCGCCAUCGCAAAGUGCUAACAAGAUUAAACAAGAAAUUUCACCUAUCGCUCGCCUCCUCAAUAUCGCUUCUAUUCCACCGUAAACCCUAAAGGAAAGUUUGCGAUUUAUACUCUUUCUUCCAUCGGUUCUGUAAUAUCCCUAAAGGGAAAUUAUGAUUGAAUCUAACAUUUUUAUUAGAUUUUCUAAUUUAUGUUGAUAUAAUUUUAGGGUUGAAUUCUUAGUGUUGGUUGAUUUUGAGUUUCAGUAAAUUGAACUCAAUGUUAGGUUUUCUGAUUUAUGAUUUAUUAAGGGCUAUUUUCUAAAUCUACUUUUUGUAAAGGAUAAAGGAGUUUCCCUUUUAUUUCCAACUGAUGUGGUUAUUGCCGAAAGGUUUUCUGCUGAUGCUAACGCCAAGGAAUCGAAGAAGAGGAAUUGAAGCGUGUAUAGAAUUGGGAUACUUCUUCAUUGUUCCUGCAAACGCAAGAGGCUAUUCCAAAGAUUGGUUUGUCUCUCUCAUUUGAUUGGUAGAAAGAAAGAUUAAGAUGAACAUAGCUUUUGAAGAUCCUGCAGGUGACUUUACUCUUGCAAAGCUGAAAUUGAAUUUCAAGAGAUUAUGGGAGGAGUUUAUAGCAGAUCUUCAUUGAAAAAUCAAAUAAACCAACUGAUUUUGUGUUUGUUAGAUAUUCAUGAAAUGAAAAAGGGUUUAAUAGAGGUUGGUAAUGUAAUAUAACUGUUUUC